Molecule: ribosomal RNA, 610 nt
Filed under: Prymnesium parvum
Lineage: Eukaryota; Haptophyta; Prymnesiales; Prymnesiaceae
Description: partial Bacterial large subunit ribosomal RNA
Rfam family: Bacterial large subunit ribosomal RNA
Source: RNAcentral
GAGUGAAAUAGAUCCUGAAACCGUAUGCGUACAAGCAGUGGGAGCCUACUUUGUUAGGUGACUGCGUACCUUUUGUAUAAUGGGUCAGCGACUUAUAUUCUGUGGCGAGCUUAACCGUAUAGGGGAGGCGUAGCGAAAGCGAGUCUUAACUGGGCGACCAGUCGCAGGGUAUAGACCCGAAACCGGGCGAUCUAUCCAUGGCCAGGGUGAAGAUUGAGUAACAUCAAUUGGAGGCCCGAACCCAAGUAUUUUGAAAAAUGCUGGGAUGAGCUGUGGAUCGGAGUGAAAGGCUAAUCAAGCCCGGAGAUAGCUGGUUCUCCUCGAAAGCUAUUUAGGUAGCGCCUCACGUAUCACCGCUGGGGGUAGAGCACUGUUUCGGCUAGGGGGUCAUCCCGACUUACCAAACCGAUGCAAACUCCGAAUACCUACAAGUGCCGAGCAUGGGAGACACACGGCGGGUGCUAACGUCCGUCGUGAAAAGGGAAACAACCCAGACCGUCAGCUAAGGUCCCAAAGUCAUGGUUAAGUGGGAAACGAUGUGGGAAGGCAUAGACAGCUAGGAGGUUGGCUUAGAAGCAGCCACCCUUUAAAGAAAGCGUAAUAGCUCACU